RNAcentral lists this ribosomal RNA (521 nucleotides) under uncultured bacterium. RNAcentral's name for it is "bacterial SSU rRNA". It matches the Rfam family "Bacterial small subunit ribosomal RNA", at positions 988 to 1509 of the family's 1533-position model. The record is from RNAcentral.
CCAGAGAACUUAGCAGAGAUGCUUUGGUGCCUUCGGGAACUCUGAGACAGGUGCUGCAUGGCUGUCGUCAGCUCGUGUUGUGAAAUGUUGGGUUAAGUCCCGCAACGAGCGCAACCCUUAUCCUUUGUUGCCAGCGGCUCGGCCGGAAACUCAAAGGAGACUGCCGGUGAUAAACCGGAGGAAGGUGGGGAUGACGUCAAGUCAUCAUGGCCCUUACGGCCAGGGCUACACACGUGCUACAAUGGCGCAUACAAAGAGAAGCGACCUCGCGAGAGCAAGCGGACCUCACAAAGUGCGUCGUAGUCCGGAUUGGAGUCUGCAACUCGACUCCAUGAAGUCGGAAUCGCUAGUAAUCGUAGAUCAGAAUGCUACGGUGAAUACGUUCCCGGGCCUUGUACACACCGCCCGUCACACCAUGGGAGUGGGUUGCAAAAGAAGUAGGUAGCUUAACCUUCGGGAGGGCGCUUACCACUUUGUGAUUCAUGACUGGGGUGAAGUCGUAACAAGGUAGGCGUAGCGAG